Long non-coding RNA from Acinonyx jubatus (cheetah), 6485 nucleotides. RefSeq lists it as uncharacterized. The record is from RefSeq and is a predicted model, not a curated record. The transcript has 2 exons. NCBI's taxonomy places the organism in Eukaryota, Metazoa, Chordata, Mammalia, Carnivora, Felidae.
GUUGUUUGAUAAACAUUCUGUGGCUGGGUUCAUACCAUAGUGAGUGUGCUGCUGUAAGACCUUUUUGAGGAGUUUUAAAUUUAUGAAUUAAGAGUUUUGCUUGGUUAAGAGGGAUGAAAGUGGGCCUGCUUUCUGGCGUUUUAAAGUACAUUCCCUGCAUGUUGUUUGGGCUUGACUUCUAUUAAAUAAUAACAAUAAAAAUAUUAUUACUGUCAUUACAAUUCUCCAUUCCUUUCUUUUGAGGUGAGUUUUUCAAAUAAGCAUGGAUUGAAAUCUUAAAAAUUAGCUUAUAUCUAAAAAGAUUCAGGAGAUUCUAACAAAUUUCAUAAACACAAUUCUAUAAUUAUGGUUUAUAUUUUCAGUCUGUUCCAAAUUUGAUAUUUAAGUACCUACAACAUAUGAGGUAUGUAUAAACAUAAUUAUAUAUCAUAAUGGCUACCAUAUAGUGAAUACCUAUGAUAUUUCAGGUUCUAUUAUCCUAACAAACAUACUUAUUAAUUAGGUAUUAUGUAAUAUGUCUUUUUACAGAGAAAGAAACUGAGGCUUAGUGAAAUAAGUAAGUGGUUCAAGGCCACUCAGUUAAUAAAUAGAGCCAAGAUUCCAAAUUAUCUUUUUUGACCCCAAAACAUAUGCCCUUCCCACUACCUCUAUAUUACCUUCAACAUGAGUUUCUUUAAAAACAUUAACAACGGACACCUGGGUGGCUCAGUCAGUUGCGUGUCCGACUCUUGAUUUCAGCUCAGGUUAUGAUCCCAGGGUUGUGGGAUCGAGCCCCAUGUCUCACUCCAUGCUGAGCAUGGGACCUGUUUGGGGUUGUGUGUCUCUCUCUCUCUCUCUCUCUCUCUCUCUCUCUCUCUCUCCCUCUCUCUCCCCCUUUGCCCCCUCUCCCACUCUCUCUCUGUCUCUCAAAUAAAGAAAAUUAUAAAAAAAAAUAAAAAUGAUAACAGCAAAACUCUAUAAAAUGUUUCUUUGUUAUAAAGCCCUAGACACCAAAGGGCAUCUUGAGCAUGGGGCAGUGGGGAAGAAAAAUGGUAGAUAUAGGGGUAAGAAUAAGUAUAAGAAACAUAAUCAGGGUGAAUUCACAAGGACUUGGCCUCUAAUCCAGUACUGGGCAAGAGGAAGAAGUUUAAAUUUACCAGUGAUGUUUGGGAAGAUAAUGAUUGAAAUUAUAGACAACAUAAAAGGAGGAACCAGUUAGGUGGUGAUGAUGGUGGGUAGAAGGGAAUAUGAUACAGUGUUUGGUUUGGGACAUGGGGAUAUGGAGAUCCCCUAAAGGUGGUUAGAACAUUUGUCUGGUUUAUACUGAGGCAUGGCUCAUUUCCUCCAGAUAGGUGCUCUUUCUUUGAGGGUAUAAUGCUUCUCAGAUGGAUGCCUGCGUCUACAGUCCCUCUGUGCCUUCCCCCAGCUCCCCACCCAGUGCAUUGGGCACAGCAAGUCUUAAAUAGGUAAUACACGUGUCAGAUAAAAGAGUAAAAGAUUUAAAGUCAUCUGUGUAGGUCAGGGUUUCUAAACAGUGGCACCGUUGACAUUUUGGGCCAGAUGAUUCUUUGUUGUUGGGGCUAUCCUGGGCAUUGUAGGGUGUUUAGCAGCAUCCCUGGCCUCUGCUUUCCAGGUACCAAUAGCACCCUCCCCCCCUGGUUUUGGCAGCCAAAAGCAUCACCAGACAUUGCCCAGUGUCGCCUGGGUGGUAGAAUCACUCCCAGUUGAGAACUGUUGACAUAGAUAAAGUCCAGAAGAGUAGGUGUGUUCUCUGGUAGAGAUUAUAUGGAUAAAAGAAAAGAAGACUGAGGAUUUAGACAGAGAGUAUCCACCCUGCCCCCCAACUAAUUGGGAGUCAGAAAGCAAAAAGCUAGCAUGACAGGACAAACACAUAUCUGGGAAGUGGGUGGCAUGGAAAUUGAGGCCGGAGAGUGUUCCUAGGGAAACAACUGAUUGGAAGUGUCAUGUUGGAUUGUUGGAUUUGGAGAUUAGAUCAUUGGCCACAUUGAUUGUUUUCAUCAGAACCUAGAUUCCAGGUCAUUCAUGACAGGAAGGUCAAAAUACUAGGAUGCAAAGUUUUUGUGUGGCAGUAGGACCAUACCUCACUUUUAGGAGAAAUAGAAGGGUCAGAUUCCAAGACCAUCCAAGACCAUUCACUUCCCUUAUUGGUGGUGUUGUCAUUUUGGCAGGGUAGGCUUUCUUCCUCAGACAAUUAAUUUUGAGUUUUCUUCUUGGCUGUCCUUUUUUGAGAUGUUCAUAUUCUUUCAUCAUGAGUUUUGGAAACUUUGCUUGUAGGAAAUACUAGAUAUUCAACACACACACACACACACACACAUGCACACACACACACACACACACACACACACACACACAAAGCUUUGUGCUUCUUUUACCUUAAAAUAAUAGAGUCUUAAAAUAGUGCUCCCUGGGCACCAUGUGCCAUGUAGCACAUAAUGCUGGCAGAUCUACAAGCUCCCCAACAAAGAGCUGAGAUACAGCACAGGAGUGAGUGGGCACAGCUCUGAGCUCAUUUUCUAGGGAGAGAUUGACAGGACCCUGGCACAAUCUAUUGUGCAUUCCAGACCUGGCCAGCACCUCCUCCCAACUCACUGUUUCUUUCCCCUACGGUCACUGUCCAUUUCUAUCAUCACGGCCAUAGAAACAUUGUUUUCCUGUUGCUGUCGUCAGUAAGCCUAAAACAUUGAACUUUCUUUUUUUUUUUCCUCCUUUCCCCUCCCUGAGAUGCUUGGUGUUUAUUAACUUUUUACAGGCCUUGACUUUCCUUCAUACUCUUCAGAUUAAAGUAUUUUUCAAUGUAUUUAGUCAGUGGUGUGUUUAGCCUGUAUCUGACAAUAGCUAUAGUACAUCUCCCCUAUUUUGGUUGUUUCAAAUUCGUUUGUUCUACAAAAUCGGAUCUGUUUUGUUCCUUCAAUCCCUGUGUCUCUCAGGGAGGCUUCUGCCAGCUAACCUCAGAUCAGGGUGUGUGCCAAUUAGUAACAUAAACUAUGAGUCACGCAGGCAAACUGAGAUUCACUCAGUAACUGUUUGAGGACUUACAGGGAGUAAGGCAGUGUGCUGGCUACAGAGCUGAAUAUGAAAAUGAAUAAGAAGACCAGCCCUCAAGAAAUUGACAGUCUCAUAAUACAAAUAUGUAAAUGACUGUGUUCCCACAGCACCAAAUAUAUCUUUUAUUGUAGUACUUGAUACUUGUGUUAAUGGUUCUUUCCAAUUACUUAUGACAGAAAUACAUUAGGAACCAUGGAAUGGUACACUGUGUUAGAGAGGUUUAAGGCAACUCAUUUACAUAUUGCUUGUCGUGUUUUUUCCUCCAUUUGUUUUUUUAUUGUUGACAUAGGUAAAACAAACCCACAUCACUGCUAAGUGAAUAUUGGAAUAUGUGUUACUUCUUAAGAUCAGUAUUCUAGAUUGUCUUCUACCAUGCUAUGAAUUAAUGAUGUCUCGUUCUUCUUGUGGUCUUAUGCCUUUGUUCUUCAGCUGUGCUAACAUUUAACACACCAUGCUUCAUCCUGAGAACCUUCGAAUGUGUAACACAUUUUGUCAGCAAUGUUCAGUCUCCUCGUUUGUUCCUCCUCAUCCUUCAGAGCUCAGUUCUGUUGUCAUUUCUCAAAGAAGCCUUUCCUGACCUUUACACUAGGCAAGGUCUCCUGUUAAGGAUACUCAUGGCAUUCUGUAUUUCUCCUUCAUAGGACUUCAUCCUGUAGUAAGUAAGUGAGUAAUUGAGUAUUUGGUUUCCCUGGUAGAAAAUAUAUUCAUGUUUGUUUGCUUGUUUGCUUAUUUAUUUUGACACAGAGAGAGAGAGAGAGAGAGAGAGAGAGAGAAAGUGGGAGGGAAAUGGGAGUGGAGGAGGGGCAGAGAGAGAGGGAGACAGAAUCAAAAGCAGGCUCCGGUCUGUCAAUGUAAAGCCUGACUCAGGGCUCGAGCUCAUGAAACAUGAGAUUAUAACCUGAGCCGAAGUCAGAUGCUUAACUGACUGAGCCACCCAGGCACGCCAUGAGUAGAUGCUUUCUAAGUAAAAAGAGCAAAUCAAGGGCAUAAACAGGAGGCACAAGAGUAUGGAGUGUCUGAAGAAUCAAAGGUACUUUGGAAUUCAGAGGGUGAAAUAGGGAAGGCACCAUACCCAAGGGUUCUGACUUCUUCCUGACUCUGAUCUUCUCUCUGACUAUCCUCUUCCUAGUCUGUGCUCCAGUCACACUAGCCUGCUCUGUUUGUUGAACAUUCCCACUGGUUCCUACUUUUAUUAGGAGCAGCUUUGCACUUGUUGCUCCCUCUAUCUGGAACGCUCUUACCUGAGAUCUCACCUCUUUCUCAUCAUUCCGACCUCACCACGAAGAUCAUUCUCCCAGGAGACCUUCCCUGACCAUUUUAUUUGCCCAUCAAUUUACCAUUUUAUUUUCUUGAUAUCACUUAUCAUUAUCCAAAAUUCUUAUUUACUUAUUUGAAUAUUUAUUUAUUACAUAUCUCCCAUAGGUGUAAGAAAGACAGAGCACAAGCAGGGGAGGGGAGAGAGAGAGGGAGACACAGAAUCCAAAGCAGGCUCCAGGCUCCGAGCUGUCAGCACAGAGCCUGACGCGGGGCUCGAACUUACGAGCUGUGAGAUCAUGAUCUGAGCCGAAGUCGGACGCUCAACUGACAGAGCCACCCGGGUGCCCCCAGUGUUGGGAUUUUUGUCUGCCCUAUUCUUGCUAGGUCCUUCACACUUAGAACAGUACCUUCACAUAGUAGGCCUUCAAAUGUUUGAGUGAUUGAGUUGUACCUGGAGAGGAAGGCAAAGUCCCAGACCAGGAAAGGCCAUUUGUUUUGGUAAAGAGUUUAUCUCUUAUAAGUAGUGGGAAAUUAUCAAAAGCUGUUAAGCAGAAGGGUAAUAUGACCAAAUUUACAUUUUAGAAAGAAUAUUCUUUAAAAUUUUUUUCAUGUUUAUUUAUUUAUUUUUGAGAGAGACAGAGCACGAGCAGGGGAGGGGCAAACAAAGAGAGAGAGAGAGAGAGAGAGAGCAUCCCAAGCAAGCUCCUCACUGUCAGCACAGAGCCCGAUGUGAGGCUCAAACCCAUAAACUAUGAGGUCAUGACCUGAGCUGAAACCGAGUCAGAUGCUUCACCGACUGAGCCACCCAGGUGCCCCUGGAAAGAAUAUUCUUGAAUCAGGGUAGAUAGUGGAUUUGAGAGGAAUGAGAGUAAGAUGGGGAAGUGUCUUUGAAGACAAUUGCUUAUUCAAGUCUCUGCUCUCAUACCUAAAAACAUUCCCCACCCCCAGUUACUCUAUUCUUUUACCAUGCAUUCUUUCAUGGCAUCAUCCUUAUAUGAAAUGAUAGUUUUAAUUACUUAUUUGUUUCUCCCCUCCAUUAAAAUAUAAACUCCAGGGAUAUAACAGGAUCCCUGUGGACUUAGGAUGAUCUCCCCACUUCCCCCUAGUUUUUGGCUGAAGCAGCUAAAGGAUACCAUUAACCCAAGUAUGGCACACUAGAGAAAGAGGGGCAGCAGGUUUGGGGUGGAUGUGUUGCAUUUGAGGUGGCAUGGAGCAAUUCUAGGAGAGAAGCAGAAGGUAGCUAUUUGUGAGGGGAUGGAAAUUAUGUGAGAAGCUGGCCCUAGAGUUGUAGAUGGGUGAGUAGUCCUGUGCUGGCAGCAUUCAUGAGUGUGGGUCAGAUCUCUUUACAGACAACAGUUAGUUAAAAAGAGAAGGGGACCAAGCAUAUAACCCUCAGCAGAUACCAGCAUUUAACUGGCAGUCAAAGGAAGAAACAUUUGCAGAGGAAACCAGAGAACAUAUACUUAGAGAGGUAGGAGGAGAAACAGCACAGUGAUAUCAUGGAAGCUUAGGAAAGUGACAGUUAUUUUUUUUAAUUUAAAUGUUUGUUUAUUUUUGAGAGAGAGCGAGUGCUACAGCAGGGGAGGGGCAGAGAGAGGGGGAGACAGGAUCCGAAGCGGGUUCUGUGCUGACAGCAGAGAGCCCAAAGUGGGGUUCAGAUUUGAACCAUGAGAUCAUGACCUGAGCCAAAGUUGGACGCUUAAGCCACUGAGCCACCCUGGCACUCCAGGAAAGUGACAGUUUUAGGUAGGAUGAAGUGAUGGUCCGGAAUCCGUAUUGCAGAAUGGUCAAGUCAAAUAGAAAUGAGCCUGUAAAUCUGGAAAUAAGGAAGACAGUGGUUACCACAGUGAAUAUACUUUUCAUGAAUGAUGAGAAAUCUGAAUUGUACUUGUAUCACAUUUGGUUGAGGUAAUGAGAGGUUAUGAGGAAACAUUGAAGGCUUUGUUAGGUUGUAUUCCAUACAUACGGAUCGGUACCAGUUCACAAGGUUCUGGCAUUUAAAGCAGACACAGGAGGGUCGCCUGGGUUGCUUAGUUGGUUAAACCUCUGACUCUGGAUUUCAGCUCAGGUCAUGAUCUCACGGUUUUCUGGGUUCGAGCCCUGCAUCUGACUCUGAGCUGGCAGUGCAGAGCCUGCUUGGGAUUCUCUCUUUCCCCCUCCCCCACUUGUGCUAUCUCUCUCUC